RNAcentral lists this ribosomal RNA (497 nucleotides) under uncultured bacterium. RNAcentral's name for it is "partial 16S ribosomal RNA". It matches the Rfam family "Bacterial small subunit ribosomal RNA", at positions 28 to 507 of the family's 1533-position model. The record is from RNAcentral.
GAUGAACGCUGGCGGCGUGCCUAAUACAUGCAAGUCGAGCGAACAGACGAGGAGCUUGCUCCUCUGACGUUAGCGGCGGACGGGUGAGUAACACGUGGAUAACCUACCUAUAAGACUGGGAUAACUUCGGGAAACCGGAGCUAAUACCGGAUAAUAUAUUGAACCGCAUGGUUCAAUAGUGAAAGACGGUUUUGCUGUCACUUAUAGAUGGAUCCGCGCCGCAUUAGCUAGUUGGUAAGGUAACGGCUUACCAAGGCAACGAUGCGUAGCCGACCUGAGAGGGUGAUCGGCCAGAAUGGAACUGAGACACGGUCCAGACUCCUACGGGAGGCAGCAGUAGGGAAUCUUCCGCAAUGGGCGAAAGCCUGAAGGAGCAACGCCGCGUGAGUGAUGAAGGUCUUCGGAUCGUAAAACUCUGUUAUUAGGGAAGAACAAAUGUGUAAGUAACUAUGCACGUCUUGACGGUACCUAAUCAGAAAGCCACGGAUAACUACGUG